UAACCUUAUCGAUUUCAUUCAAACAUAAACCCUAAUCUUCUUAAGGUGAACCUUCUUCUCCCAUUGCAGCCAUUAGCGCCACCAUCAAUAUUGAAGACUGAAUUUGUUUGAGAAAUUAUUCUUCCAUGGCGAGAUCUGAAGCGGUAAAAUAAAAUCCUAAAUUUCUUAACGUGGUUAUAACAUUCUUCUUCUCCGACGCAGGCUUCACCGAUUUGAAUAUAGAAGGGUGCAACACUAUGUUUUGUACAACUCUAAGUUAAGCUCUAAGUUUUGUAAGUUUGAGAUUGCUAGGGACCAUGCUAGAAACUUAUGUGCCAAGGUGGGUACUCUAUUCUUCUCAUUUUCUACUUGUAAUGUAUGUUCCUUUUCAUUAGUUAAUUAUUACUUCAAAACAUCAUUUUAGUACUAAUAUAAUGAUGUUAAAGUAACCUAUAUAGAUUUGUUUGCUUUCUGUACCAUGGCUAAAAAAGCCUGCAAAGCUACAAUUUUUAUGAUCAUGGUGAGUUAUGGAUUGUCCAUGUAACAGAGAAGUAAUGCUACUUAGUAUAACAAUUAUAAUUGUAAGCCUUUGUAUUCCUUUGAUAUUUCUACUUUCAUUACUAUCACUUGACACUUGCUGUGAACUUAUUGUAUUAUUAACAUGAUAUAUAGCAGUAAGCUUUGCUUGGAUGCUUCACACAACUUUGUUAAAAUUAACACACAACUAAUUUCAUAUCUAGACUUUAGAACAUAAAUAUUUAAUGUUAUCUCUAAGCUUCAGUUACGCCUUAGUCAUAGAACAUAUACUUUUGUCACUAGCCAAUUUGUCAAUGAAACAAAUCUUUGUUCUUAUUCUCAUCAAUCAUUCUUAGAUACAUACACAUAUACAUUAUAUUAUAUUUAAGAUAGAUUACCUUAUUCAAUUUCAACCCUUCUAUUUUGUUAUUACAUGUUAACUAUACAUAUACAUUAUAAUAUAUUAUAUUUAAGAUAGAUUAUAGACCUUGCAAUUUGUAUGAUCAUAGCAGCAAUAACAAAACAGCUUAGUCUAAGACUUCAGCUUAGUCUGAGAGUUCCAAUAGACCUUUGUGACUGCUCCCGCAACUCUCAAACUCUACAUCCAUGAUUGCUAAGACAAAUUCUUUCAUAUGUUCCCUUCUUUUGUUUUGCAUGUAAUAAGUUGGCAGAAAGCAUUGUGAAAACAUAUGUUCCCUUCUUUUUACAUGAACAUUGGCCAAAGGUCACUCUUAUUAUUAUUACCUGGAUGUUGAUAUGAAAUGCAUCAAAUGAAUGGUUGUAUUUGCUCUAAUUUUUCUCUCAUAUUGAAGUUUUAUCAAAACCUGGAUAUUAAUAUGAAACACAACAAAUAAAUGAUGAUAAUAAUACUAUCUCUUGAUUAGAGACGUAAUAAAUAUAUGUCUAUUAUUAUGAUUAACAUGAACUGUUGUUUUAUAUUUUUUGCAUUCUUAUCUCUUUAGCAGAUCUAUCUCAUCAACAAAAUAUAUACCACAGAGUGAGUCAUUAGAUGUUGUCCCUUGUUUUUAUUUUGCUUGCUCCAUCCUAUCUCAUUACACGUUAAUAGUUUCUUGGUUCAUGUGUUACUUUUUGUAGAUGUGAUUUCUACAAUUAUUCAAGGAAUAUGGCUUGGUUGAAGUGCAAACUUGAACACCGUGAAGACCAACCAACUAGUGAGUCUGAAGAGCAGUUUUGGAAAUCAAGUUGAGUAAGAAUAAAAAUCAAGUUUUUGCAUAGUGGGGGUCAAAUUUUGGGCUGUAAAAAGUAUUUGAUCAAGCAUGUCUAUUUUGGCAUUGUUUUAUUAGAGAUACGCAUAUACAAUCAUUACAGACAAGUGUACUUAUUUGAUCACAUGAUUUUGUUUUAAUAUGAUCUUGUAUACAAUUGUAUAAACUCAUUUAAUAUUAUAAAAACAAUAUGUAG
This 1917-nucleotide long non-coding RNA is filed under the name Lupinus angustifolius (narrow-leaved blue lupine). Its description in RNAcentral is "long non-coding RNA (LANG_LNC002764)". The record is from RNAcentral. Lineage: Eukaryota; Viridiplantae; Streptophyta; Magnoliopsida; Fabales; Fabaceae.